Apis mellifera (honey bee) is the source of this 14666-nucleotide long non-coding RNA. RefSeq lists it as uncharacterized. The transcript has 2 exons. Lineage: Eukaryota; Metazoa; Arthropoda; Insecta; Hymenoptera; Apidae. The record is from RefSeq and is a predicted model, not a curated record.
ACCAAUUUUUAAAAUUCAUAAAACUUAUUCCAAUUUCCAAUUUCACUACGAUCGAUCGUAGAAUCAAUGGUAGAACGAUACUGUAAUCGAAUCGAAACCAAAAGGGAACAAUAAACACGUUCUCCGUACACGUUCGAUCGAAAGAAACUUUCGUCAAAGUCAAUGGCGUCAAUCUAACGGAGCCAAUCCUUACAAAAGGGAGGAGAGGCAAGUGGUCGUUACACCUCGAAACGAAGCAUCGGUUCAACCAGGAUCCGGUGUUUCCGAUAAUUUCCUCGUUUAACGCGUUCCCGGCGCGAGAUUACACACCGGUAUAUCGACGUCCACGCAGCGCCCCCGAUGGACACCAGCGAGAACGUAGGGGCGUAGACGGGGUAAAAUUGGAGGUAGCAAGGGUCGUAGGUAGCGGUGGUGGUGGUGAUGGAAUCGGAAGGAGGCGAGGGAGAACGAUCCGGUGUCUCUUUCCCCGGUUGUGUGCCGGGCAAAGUAAUUAAUUAGCGUAAUGAUUCGUUCGCGUAAGCUCUCGUUUCGCUCGCCUGUAACGAGUAGAGUUUCGCAAAGUUUCGCAGACUCGUCGCCGAUGUUGCUCCUCCCUCCCUCCCUCCCUCCUUCCUUCCUUCGCCUUCUCCCCUUCCGUCCCCUCUCCCUUCUUUUUCUACCCCGUCGCCCCUUUCAAAUAUUCGUAUCGAGUGAUUUUAAUGAGGAGACGCAAGUUGGCCAAACACGGGAGAAAAAAAAGAGGGAGCACAACGGGGGAGAGAGUAUACGGUUUCGCGAUAAUAGGGAGAUCGUCCUCGCCAAUUACGCCACGUCUCGAGAACGAUCAAUUAUCGACGAUUAUGAAUAAUUAAAAUCGACGGAAGCAGUGGUUUCGCGUUAAACGGGUCAUGAUUUUUUUCAAGGAUUUUUUUGUUGUUGUUGUUGUUGUUAUAGGCGUGGUAUUGCGUUCAAGAUGAUCGGAAAAGUUUAUUUUUGGAAUUGAUGUGUAAUUGGACGAGUAAGCGAUUCGAUGAGAAGCAGAUUUGGAUCGCGUUAAGCUUAUAGAUAUUAUAUUUUACGGUAUAAAAGCGGACCAUACGUCGUUAAAUGGAACGAAAAGAUUCGCUUCAUCAUUCGGCAAUACGUUAAUUUCGCGUUUCCGCUUUUAUAUCGAAUCGCAAAAUACAUACACGUCAAAGAUAAUUGACCCGAUAUUUCGGUGAAUCUUUCCAAGAGAUACAGAGAGCGAGCAGAGAUUGAUGAUCAGAAUAUAUCGCGUUAACGUUAUUACCUACACCAUCACAACUUCGCAUACGAUAAACUUAUUUACUCUAUCGAAAAUUGAUUGAUGCUCCCUCUAUCGAUGCGCGUUUUGAACUCUUAAUUUCUCAUUUUCGCGUGCCGCAAAAUUAGAUGCAAAACAAUUUUCCCCAUUCCUCGCUAAUUCCGCCAAAUCAUUAAACAAAUCGUUAAAACGAUAUUUUACGAUAUCCUCUUUUCUCUCUCUCUCUCCAAUUAUCCUCAAAUUUAUCAAUCGCCAAUUAACCGUAACCGUUUAAUACUCUUCCUUCUUUCAUCGCAUUCAUAGGAUUCAAAUACUUUAGCUAGCACUAAUGGAAAACGUCAAGCGAACAAACACGACUCGGAGAAUGAAUUUAUCGUCGGAUUUAUCCAAUAUAUCAACCGUUCCGAGUAACACCGUUCCUCUCUAAACAUCCUUACAAUAAUUUUCCACGAGCCACGCCGCGUAAAAUUCGAAUUCGAAUUUUUUUUUUUCUUUUUUUCGUUCCUUUUUUCAAAAAUCGUAUCGAAGACGUAUCGCGUCGAAACGGCGAGGGGCGGAGCCUCGAACGAAUUUAUCGCCGGUCCGGGGGUCACGAGACAAACUAAAUUGCCGAUCAUAAUACGUCGCGCGCGGUGUUCCCUCUAUAAUUCAUCGUCUCAGCGGCUCGCGUCGUAUUAAUAACCCUGUCGUCUGUAUAAACUCCGCUAACUAACUUAUAAGUCAUUCGACUCGUUUGAGCGACAAAUUCGUAACAUAAAUUUACGACCGACCCCUGACCAUCUGUCAAGCCGACGUUCCUCACCGAGGCUAAGCUCGACGAGAUUCGAAAGAUAUAUAUAUAUAUAUAUAUAUUUUAUCUACCGGUUAACAAACAGCCUUCUUCGCGCUACGUUAUUGUACGGAUUCGGUGAGCGAAUUUUGCUCUAUUUUGAUAUCGAUCGAUUAAUAACGAAAUUCGUUACGUGGGGAAGGAGAUAGAUGUAAGAAUAGAAUUUUCGAUGGAGAAUUUUAGAUAGAUUAUAUGGUUUAGAUAGAUUAAAAGUGAAAUUCAUCGUUCUAUGAUAAUAGUCGAAAUAAUAAAUUCGAAUCCAGUUUUUGGAGAAGUCUUUGGAGAUUAUGAUGCGUGGAUUAUGAUCGUUUUCUUCGCGGUUCCAAGAGGACCAUUGUGUCUCAGAGCUCUGACAGGCUUCUGUUUACUGUGGGAAAGUGAAGUGGUGCGAACGAGGAAAGAACGUUAAGGUUAAGCCCAGGAACCCAGACGCAAGAACGAGCCACGUUCCAACGAAACGAGGAGGAAAUACGUCGCAAAAUACAGGACGAAUCCAAGUAAAAACGAGCAAAGCUUUUAACCUGAUUUCAUUUCCGCUCUAGACAGAAGACCGAAAUAUCCUUGGUCGGAAGGAGAAUAAUCGGGAGAAAAAUAAUCGGGAAAAACGGGAGAACGUAGAAAACGUUGGGGGAGAAUCGUUCGACAAUCCCCUCCCCCGCGAAACGUUAAUAUUUAGUCCAUCAAUUACGAGGCAUUCGAGAUUUUCCGCGGCUCAAUGUCCCCGGAAUAACGUCUCGCCGAGAUAUAUAUUUUCCACUUCUUCCACUUCCCUUUUCCACCCUAUUUCCUUCCCCUCCCUCCCUCUCUCUCUCUCUCUGUUCCUUCAUCCUCGCAUCUCGUCUCGCAGGGAGAAAGAUCAGUUUUAAUGGAGUCAGGAGCGGGAUGGAUCCGUCUCCGGGCAUAAAGGGAAGAUCGUUCCUUCGCAUUAAUAUCACUCCACGCGGGACUUCCUCCCUCCCGCUCUCCUUCCGCUACCUUCCCGCCAUCCCACCCCCACUAUUUUUCGCAUUACGAGACUUUCCAUUUGCGGAGAUGGACAGCAGCCGGGGAACGCAAAAACGGCGUCCAUUAAGUUCGAAUACGGAAAUAUUGGAAUCUCUCGUUUGUAUCGUUUAAACCGUUUUACCUAUCUAUCUACUACCUCCUCCCUUCCACGCGAGCGCUUUAAUUCGCGAUCGAUUCGUAUCUCUGCGCGGAAUCGUUGGAAAAUCUCUUCUUCAUCGAUGGACGCGUGUCUCUUGUUAUUCCUCUUUCGUAAGGAUACGUCGUGGAUUGAAAAGUGUGAAAAAGUUUUGUAUUCAAGAAUAUUUCUCGCAAGUGAAAUUCUUGCGUUAUUUUAGAUGUGGUAAAUUUUUGUACAUUCGUGGAAAAUUUAUGUGCAAAAAUAUCUAAAAGAAAUAUAUAUAUAUAUUUCAAUAAUUUAAUUUGCAAUCAAUCAAUAACAUAUGUAUUUAUUGAACAAAAAAAUUGAACUAAUAAUUCUUCGUUGUAACCGCAUUAUGUGUUCAUCGAUACGAAUGAACGCAAAAGAAAGAAAGAACACAAACAUAAAGUCUCAAAGAGUAGUCGAUAUCGACUAAAUAUCUCUUUAAAAAAAAAUUUAAAAAAAGAAGAAAAAGAAAGAAAAAAAACGCAAAACUGCUUCAUCUCAAAAUCAAAAAAGAGAUAAAGAGAAAAAACUCUCUUUAUUCUUCGAAAUCCCAACAUCCCAUUUCCACUUUCGACCGAUUACUCCCGUGAAUGGUACAAACGACCAUCAUGAUCAAAAAGAGUCCCGCUAUUGGCAACGAUGACGCGCCGGUAAAGAUCUCGACUUUGAAAAAAAAAAAAAAAAAAGAUCGACUGAAACCGCGAGGAGGGAGGGAGAGGUUGACAAAGAGGCGCGCUUCUUCGAAAAAAAGCACGAGCGCUACAAACGGCAGUGGCCGAAGUGUGCUCUUGUUUCAAGAUUUUCCAGGGGCGGUAAACUUUUCCUCGGCUCCGAGCGGCUCGAUAUUCGCGCGCAAAUAUCGGCGGUCCCUUCUCUUUCUCUUUCUCUUUGUCCUGUUCAAAAGGAAGCUACACGGAUGAACCGUCGCCGCUGUUUAUUUCGAUUUAUUUCGAUUCCAUGGAGAGAAAUAGAGAAGAAAGAAAGAUAGAGGGAAAGAAAGGAGAGAGAGAGGAAUCUCUAUGAUUGAGAGACAAACCGUUUAAAAUGUUUGAAAUGUUUGUAAAAUGUAUCUUUGAUAUAAUAAAAAAAAAACUAUAAAAUAUGAUUCUAUUCUCGCAAUAUCAUCAUAAGAGUUUAAAUAUUUAUUUCUCUAUCGCGAAAAUAUCUUCUCGAUUUACCACCGAUUGAAAUCAGUUGUCAUUUGAUUGGAGGAGAAAGCGAGGGGAGAUGAAACACGCGUGGGCGUGAAGAGAAGAAGAAGACCAAGAGAUGCAGGUAUAAUUACGAAGAGAGAGGGACAAAGAGAAAUCGAGCGAGGAAGGAAUUAAUGAACAUCGUGUGUAAAGUGAAACCUCGUUUCAUCCUCUCUCUCUCUCUCUCUCUUUCUUUCUCGAGAUUCGAUCGAUCUCUGGAUACACGCGAUUUAAUUAGCCGAAAGCAAAUGCUACCGGUAUAUAUACGGUAUAUAUACAGAAAGAAACAUCGAUUGAUGGAAAGAUAAGAUGAAGAGAGAGAAAGAGAAGAAUCGUCUCCAGGAACAUAAUAAAGCACCGUCUCAUUGUCUCGUUCCUCUCUGUCCCUCAUUCUUCUUCUAUGCCUUCUUUCACCGUGUAUAUCUGGGACAAUACCGUGUGCCGAUUCAUCGGAAACUUUCCUGUCUCUCUCCUUCCCUUCUCCAUCCCCCCCCCCAUCCCACCCUAAAAUCCUGUAUUUCUCUUAUCCGUACAAAGAGACGGAAACUUGGCUGAAGCGAAUUCGCGUUUUCGAAUCCAUUCUCUUCGACGAGAGGGGGGGAGAUAUCUCUUUCUCCUUCUCUUCCUCGCCUCUGAUUCUUCCUUUGCUUUCUUGUCUCUCUAUCCCAUCCCAUACACUGCGACUUCGGUGGCGAAUCGCAUGCGUGCACACGCCGCCACUUCCGUCGCCCUCGCUCAGACUCUUUCUCUUGCGAUUGCUCUUGUGAAUUCGUGAAUCGUGAGGUAAAGGAAAUUGGGGACGAGGAGGAGGGGUGGAAAGAAGGUACUUGGAAGGUAGAGGAAGAAGGAUGCACUCGACCAGAAUCGAGGAUGCGGACGCUUGUUUCAGUGGAAUUGUUCCGUGUUCGUAAAUUUUUCAAAGUUUCGAUCGAUUUCGAUUCGUUAAAAUUCCCCCACCUUCCCAUUUGAACGAAUGAUAUCGGUCGCGUUUAUUAAUUAAAACAGAGAGAGAGAAAGAGAAAUCGAAAAAAAUAUCGAGUAAACGAACGCAUCGUUAUAGAUUCUCGGUCAAAGGAAGCCACAUUCUAUAUCGAUUCAAUCCGUAUUGAAUAAUUCAUCCCUUUUUACCUAUACUUCAAUCAGAUAUGGAAUCAUGCCAAAUCUGAUAUUUCCGCGGGUGUAUUUCGUUCGAAAACUUGAUGAUCGAACUCGCAUUACGGCUUGAAUCAAUCUUUACACGAUCAAAUUAUCACCAUUACGAUCGAUAAUUGAAUAAUUAUCCAACGUCGAAUAUCUUAUUAUUUCGAAAAUAGCCUCCCUCCUCCUCCCUUGUUCAUCUUCGGGAAAAUGACGAAAAAAAGAGUCGCAUUCGAGCUUCUUCCGACAAAAAAAAACCAACACCAGGUAUAUCCCCGACGAGGAAUUAACAACGAAAGAAUCCACAGAAACGACAAGCAUUCGAAAGGAACAAAGGGAGGAGAGGACGGAACGCGCAACGACCAAACUGCAAAGCGAUAAUCGCGCGGAUAAAAGGGAACAAAAGGGAAAGGGAGCGUGUUACAAAGAGAGAGAGAGAGAGAAAGAGAGACGAGCGUUCUGGUGUCGGGGAAAAAUGAUGUCCGCAAAUGGAGAAGACACUCUUGUGCUUGUCUCCGAAUAUUUUCACUCGGAAUAUUAAUUAUCACCGAUGUACACACACACACGAACAUAAUACAAGUAGAAACAAGCAUGAAUGGAAGGUAUUAAACGUCUGUUCAGAGACACGUGUCAACACGGCUCCGGUUUUCGUGUAUCCUCAGCAACAUGGACACAAUGUUGCAGUGAGGUAAGCGUACACUCGCGCACACACCGUCGCUUAUUACUUUCUUCGUUCCGUGUACGAUGUAGGCGAAACGUUACGGCCGAGGUACAGGCGCAAGGUUAUGCACAAGGUUCCGCGCACGGGUGUCACUUUGUUGGAGAGCGUGGGCGCGUGUUCAGCAUUCCUAAAGGAAUUGCCAAGGACGCGAGCGGCGAUGAUGGGAUUAACAAGUAUUCGGCGCGAGUCGCCGGUUUUCCAGUUGACGGCCAGAUAAAGGGAAUGCGAGAGAUUCCUCGCGCGAGUCGUGGCCUUCGUCGCGUUUGCGAAAAAGGGACGGGUGCGUGGGAUGGGUUACGGGAUAAAACUCGAAACCGAUCCCUCUAAAAAUGAUCGUACGAUCGUUAAUUCAGAAUUCGCAAUUUUUCAAACGAAUAUAUAUUUCGAAUUAUCGGAAUUUAAAUGUUUUAUCGAGAUGGAGAUAAUCAACGAUAAGGGAUAAUAUUCCUAAAGCGUAUGAUCUCGAGAUGAGAGAAAAACCUCAAACUCCUUCCUCUUUAAAAUUCAAAGGAAACGCGCGCGACAAUAGGCGGAACGUAAGGCGGAAUUCUGAGGAAGGAAAAAAUGCGAAGAGAAAUAGAAAACGUGGUAAGAAGAGCGAGCGGAGAGAUACAACGCGUCGAAGAAGGGAGAGGAGGGGAAGGAAAGCUCGAGGUUCCCUCCAUUUUCCGUGUAUUCCAAUAUCCUGCUCGAUCCUGUUCGAAGCGUGCACCCCGAAACCGGUAUAGAAAUAGAAGGUUUUGGAUCGAUGUACACGCGCAACGUGGCGGCGCAACUUGGCCCGGGAUCGUAAUUAUGAAGGAAUAUCGUGGAAAAGUUGGCCGACACGAGCCGAUAAAGUCUCGGGGGGAGGAGGGAGAGGAAGUUUGCGCGCAACCCUCGGACGAGAUGCAUGCGAUUUCGGCCGUGAUCCAAAGGUGUUUUCCAAAGUGGGAAAGAGGGCUCGUAGCAAGUUGAUCCUACGCAAGUUCGGGAAGAAGAGGGUGUAUAGGCACGAUUAUUUCAAGGCGAUAUUGCCCUCGAGAAAAUAUUUAAACGAUCGAUCCGUGGAUGGACGGGGAGGAGAUGGGGAGGCGAGGUUAGAUUGGAACGCGGCAAAAGCGAAAUUGUUGACGGGCGAAGGGGGAAAGUAUCGAGUAGACCCGUUUUGUCGUCUGCGAUCGAUAGCGGGGGUGGGGGUGGAAUGGAUGAUGGAAAGAGACGCGCGGAAAACGCGGCUUGUUCGAAAGUUGCAGUCGGUGCGGAUGGUGAAGUUACUUUGAAUAUCGAGCUUGGAGGAAAGGGGUUGGACUCGAUGGAUUAUUCGAUGAUUGUUUGAUUGACGAACGAAGACGCGUGUAUAUAUAAUAACGAUAAUAAUCAGAAGAAAAAGAAUUUGGAAACAGGAGUUUGCUCGUUUGACUUUAUCAUCGUAGAAUUCGAAUGAUAUCUAAAUGCAUACAUCCGGGAGAUAGGGCGAAAAUCAACAGGAAAAGGACAUGAUGCAUAGUGAUUUCUCUUAUCACUGGCGCCAAAGAAGAAAAAUUUUAUUUAUUUGACGCGGAUACGAAACGUUUCAAAAACGUCACAAGCCGUCCAUUCCAAUAAUUGCAUUAAACUUCCGCUCAAUUUUUUUUCUUCCUUUACGAAACAACGUAAAAUUUCUUGCUUCUUCCUUCAUUCCGUUCGUUGAUUAAUCGCACGAGAAAAAUCGAUAUUUUUCAAAUUCAGAAUCGUAAAACUCGAUCAUCGGACGAAACAACACGGGUCCACGAAUUUUUAAUUCGAUUCAACCGGCGCUCUUUUCAUUUCACCCGUCAACCUUUUCGCGCCAACGCGAAUUAAGAAAUCAAUCCUAUUACGACAAUCUUCCUCGACCGGUAAUUUUUUUUCCCCCCUCAUCUCCGUCCCCCAUCUCGAAUGUCGCGAUCGAGGCAAGCCGUUAAUGCGACUCGAUCAUUCGAAGAACUUUUUCUGUCGCUUCAUCCACGUCCGCCUCGCUUUCUCUUUUCCGUCUGUCGACCCUUCCCGGUCGAUACCUCCAUCGAUUAACCUCUCUUCCGUUCAAAAUAUUUUUCUCUCUUUCCAACGAGAAUACUAAAGUAAUAUCUCAUUACCCAUCGCUCGAUAAUUAGGAAAAUCGGGCUGUGUUUAAACACUUUUGUGAAUACUUCAUACGCGGUCAUAUUUCUCUUCGAGUUCGUAGCCCUCGUUAAAACCUCAAGAACGAUCGUUAUGAUAAACGCGAAAAAAAGAGAUAGAAGAGACGAAAAAAAAAAUAAAUAAAUAAAUAAAUAAAGGACCAUGAAAGGAAAUAUGAAGGGAAAAUAUGAAGGGAGAAAAGAGGGAAAGGUUCGUGAAAGGGCGAGAAUAAAUAGCGCACGCAUAUUUUUGAAAACUCAUUUAACCCCUUUGAAAAGAAAAUAAUUUUUUUACCGUCAUAUUUCUCAAGAAUCUCAAAAUAUAUAUAUAAAACACACGUCUUGUAGCCUUUUAACGAGUUAUAUAAAUUUCCUUAUCGUUGAAGCAAAAUCAAAAUCUAACAAGCCAAGAUUAAAGUAAUCUUCGCCCACUUUGGAUAUUAAAUAUUCAAUCACUUUGCUCCGUGCAUUUCGCAUGCAGGAAAAGGGGAAGAGGGGAGUUAGCUUACUCCGCAACGUGGUGGUCUUGGCAAACGGAUAAAGAGGCUUCUUUCUCAACAUUCGACGUCGAGGCGGCCUUGACCGUGAAACCGCCCCUUUGUUCCUCGACGGCACACAUAUCCUGCGAGAGAGAAGAGAAAGAGAGGGAAGGAGGGGAGGAGAGAAAGAGAGAGCCUUGAAGCGUCGUGAUCGUCAUCGCCGUGACAAGACAUCACAAUGCAUCGUUUCCAUACGCCGAGUAACAACAGCGUGGGUGGAUGCGUUGUUCGCGUGAAACGAGCUGGCUACGAGAGAUUUCAGUAUUCGACGAUCAAGAUUGCGCGACUUGCGGGGGAAAAGAAAAGGAGGAGGACAAAACUGUGUGCUCUCUCUAAUUAACGAACCAGAUUACUCCUGCCUGCGAUUUAUUUAAUGUCACCGGUUCGAUUCAAUUUCCCGUCGAAUUAAUUCGGCGUCGCUUUAAACGUACUUCAAUUAAACCUCCGCUCCCCUUUUCCUCUCCUCCUCUCUUCCUCACUUUUGAAUACUUUUUUCCCCCUCCCCUUCGAGGUUAAGAGAUUUACGUAAGGAAAAGUUUCCGAUUGACGUUGAUAAAUAAGUCGUCGAAAAGGGGGAUGAUCGAUCGUAGGUUAGUUAAAACGUAUCGAGGUACCAGGGGUUUGAUCCAAGGAAACAAUCGUCCUCGAAAGAGGACGAGGGGAGAAGUUGUGAACGUGAGAAAGUUCGAAGCGAGAAGACGGAACCGAGCUCUCUUUCGAUCGAUCUGCGAAAGUAAAAAGGAUAGAGAGAGAGAAAAGAAGAAGAAAGAAAAGGAAACAGAAAAAAAAAGAAAGAAAGGAAGAAAGAGAAAAGAAAAAUAGACGGAAGAAAGAGUUGGAAGGAAGCUGGAAACGGCGAGUAACGAGAAGAGUCUAAGAGGUGGAAAGCGUACGGGGAAAACAAACGGAGGGAGCCUUUUCCCUCCCGAUUCCGGUGACAGUCGGUCGGGCGAAAUUGCGAAUAUCGAAUUUCCCUCGAAACUUCCCCUCCCCUCUUCCCAGGGGGGAAACGAGAUCUCCUCGAGCGAGUUUUUGAACGGCAAGGGGAGGCCACGGUAAGGGAGGGGAGGAAGAGAUGGGUCAACGAGCGCGAUCAUUCGAGCACGCUGAUUAAAAAUACAUAUCGGGUCGGCGCGUUUAGGGAAUAAGAUGGCGGGUGGCGAUAAGGGCGGACGAGAAACGGGCACCGGGGUGCAAUAGGGGGUGUAACAUCUUUAUACGCAAACGGAAACAAGCGUCUCAUCCCUCUCGUUAAUGUUUGAUUCCGGGCUUUGGGCGGGAACGCUGUGUUUUUUCCCCUUUUUCCCGGGGAAUCGAACGGUGAAACUUUCAUGGAUUCUCUCCUUUUCUUGAGAUGAGACGAGGGGAGGAGGAGAAGGAAAAGGAGGAGGAAGAGGAGGAGGAGAAGGUGAUUCUCAUCAUGGAAAAUUCGAGGAAAGUUAGGAGUGGAAAUUUAGAAGACGAAAAAUCGCACACGGUGUGAAAGUUUCGUGGAUCCUUCUCUUCUUCGAUGAUUUUCAUCAAUUUUGAGGACGAGUCGAGGGAAGGAUACAUGGAGCGCCGUUUUAAAUCUGAUAAAAAAAGAAAGAGGAUUAAGAAUCGCGAAAUAGGGUCAACGAAGAAAAUUAUGAAUGAUUAGAUUCGCGAGAAAUGGGAAAUGAAUGAAUUUGAUCGAAUGGAGUCGACUUAUUAAAUUAUCGCGCAAUCUUAUAAUACGAAACAGAUUGAAUUUCCGGCGUUACUUGCGCGUAUUUUUGCGAAUGAAAGCAAAGAAUAUUACGACGCGCCGACAGAUCUGUCAAGUUAUAUCCUUCCUGUCUAUUUUUCACGUUUCAUAUUUAUCAUAUUUUUAAACAGACCGAUUAUCUUUCGAAGCACGAAAAUAUUGCUACAAAUGUUGUUGCUGCAAAGCAAGCAGGAAAUUCGUUGUUUCGACGAGAUUGGAAUUAAAAAAAAAAAAAAAAAAAAAAGAAAAAAGAAAUAGGGAGCAAAUAAAUAUCUCUCAUAUUUCAUUCGGUAAAAAUACACUGAUCACGACGGAUGGUUUUUGAUGGAAAAAAAAAACGGAAAAUAAAAUACCUCUGAAUUAUAACAGUCGAAAGAUCCGAAAACGCCAAUCGACCAUUUAUUUCCCACCAACCUAAUAAAACAAAACUGAUAAAUUUGAAAAGUUUACACGCGAAAAAAAUCAAACAAUACCGAUGUUUAAUCCAAACAUUGCACAAUUUAAAAAAAAAAAGAAAGAAAAAACGCUGUUUGAUCUGUAAGAUGUUUUUAAAAUAAAUGAAAGUAAUUAAACCUGUUUGAAGCCCGAAAACAACGAGGAGGAAUUACGAGGAGAGGGGAAAAAAGAAAGAAAGAAAGAAAAUACGAUUCGCGAAAUGAAAAAUAUUUGUCUCCCUAUUCACUGAAAUUUUUCUACUUUUCCCCGUCAAAACGUGAAAAAUGCAUAAUUCCAGCUAUCCAUGCGUGAUGCACAUUGAUACACACAUUACGCGUGAUGUAAUCUAUAAAUAAUUGUAUAACAUCGCGAUACAAUUCCAUUUCUGUCAAUUUUCUCAGUUUUAUUGAUCGUCAAUAUUUCGAAACGAAUUUACGACAAUAAGUAAUUAACAUCGUGACGAUUAUUAAUAUUUUUUGAAACGACGAAAACGUUGAAAACAACGGGGAGGAUCCCAUAUUUAAUCCAUACCAAAUAAAAAACAAAAAAAAACAACAAUUUUUAACAACACGGAUCCAUCGAAAUUUUAAAUCAACGUUUUGUCCUUUUUUUUAUAUUAAAUGAAUACGAAACCAUCCUCGAAUCCUCUUCCUCGAGGCUCGAAUUAGCACGGCGAAGCGGUCCGUACGAUUCCACGGACAAACGUCGAAUGAAUAUCGUUCGACUUUCGCCGUAACGAAAACAAACUCGCGCCGAAUACGUACUCGUCCGUACGAGUUUACAAUAUUGUGUCGUGGAAUAAUCCGUUCCGUAUAAUAUAAUAUAAACUGUUAUAAUAUAAAUGUUAUUAUCGUUCACGAUUAACGAGGCUCAACUUGUACCGAAUCAAAAAUAAAUCCGUAUCGUCGUAUUCAUUCCGAUCUCGCGGUGGGUCGUCGAAAGGGUUGAUAAACCCCCUCCUCCCCUCAUAAACGCCGUCGACGUUCAAUCGACGAAUCCUUCGACCCGACUCGCCAAUGGACUUUUUUUUUUAAAAAACUCCUUUCUUAAUCUCUCGCGAAAAGUUUCCACGCCGGGAAUAAUCGAUAAAGGUUCUCGAGAUUGUUCGGACGUGUCUUUCAUCCGGCGAGAAGUUAAGCCCUCCCCUCUCCCUCUCUUUCUCUUCUCCCCCGAUAGAAAAGACGGCGAAAUAAUUUCAUUAUCCUGAUAACGGAUCUUUGAAUAUUGGCGAACUCUCUUGAUUACUUCCACCGUUCAAUUCUCAUUUCGCUGAGUUGAUAAAUUUAACGAUGACGGGAAAAACUGGGUCGUUGAACGAUCAUCUUCUUUCUUUCUUUCUUCUUUUUUUUUUUUUUUUUUUGCUUCCCUCUCCAUCUCCUCUUACCGCCCCCUGGUUGCGUCCCUUUGCGCCCAGCUCUACCUCGAUGGAAUAACAGUGCCGAUAGCUUGGCCGGAGAGGGAGAAACAGAGAGAUAAAUCUGUUUCUACGUAUAUAUAUAUCACAGGAUUUUAUACCAUUGUGCCCCACUUUUGCGUAAAAAUCGUUCGACUUCGCCCCGGAACAAUUGAUUCAAAGCUUUUGUUCUAAACAAUCCAACGCUGAUUACGGGGCAUUCGAUGAUUACACCUGCUCGGCCUAUUGUUCCUUCCAAAGAGGUACCGAGUGUGUCUUUUCGAUAAUAAAAUCGAACGUUUUACCUUUUUUUUUUUUUUUUCCCCCUCGUAUCGAAGUUAAGAGAAGGCGGCAAGGAAAAAAUCGUGGAAAUUGUACGUUCGAAUGUUCGCGUAAGUAAGUUUAGUUUAAUUUUAUUUCCCUUUUUGUUUUAAUUAUUCCAGGUAUGUAUAGGUAAGCGAUAAAAGGAAGAAACGGAAGAAAGGAGUAUGGGAUAAGGAUUCAUUCCGUAGGAUAUCGCGUAGGGGAUGAGCGGAGUUUAAACGAGGUCGCGGCGAAGAUUAGUCUGGCGGCAGGCGUUACAGGGGAAUCCUGUUCUCGUUAAAAUAAUGAAACUCGAGGCGGUCGGGAUUUUUCGCGCGGACGAGUUGAAAAAGAACGAAAUAUUUUCGAGGGAAAAUAGGCCCGAAAAUUUCGACUAUCUACGAAAGGAAAAAAUAGGGAAAAUUAUUGACCCUCUUUCCUUCCUUAUUUUUUUACUUUUUUUUUUACAUGAAUUAAUUAGAUAUUUCGUUGAGAGUUGCACACAGGAAGAAAUACAGAGAGUUUGAUAUCACUCGCAAUAUGAAUGUAGGAAAGAAAUAAUUAUCGGUUGAUAAGUGUCACGAAUUGAGAAUAGGACGGAAAAAACGGAGAGUAAAUGUCAGGUGAACAAGUUUUAUCAAGGAAUGUAAUUUUUACUUACUUUAAUCGAUCAGGCCAGGAAACAACAUGCAACGAUUUUAAUCGUUUAUACGUCACAGAAAAGAAUAAUAACUCUACUGAUACACUAUCGGUGCACAGGCUAAAAUUAAAACGGUAUAUUGUGAGAAUAAUCAAAAGAUCUAUCAUCCUUUUAACAAUUUAUAUUUAACAAUUCCAAAUUUAAAAAUAAUUUUAUUAACCUCAAUUUUAUUGUUAAACCUCUCGUCGCAAGAUUUCUAGUAAACUCCACGCACCCUUUCGUCUCCCGAUAAUUGAUAUCAUUAUCGUCAUUAUUUGCUAAAACGCGACUAGCCAUGGUUACGAAAAGAAGGAGUGGGUGGAGGAAGGGAAAAGGAAAAUAAAAAGAGCACCUUUUCUUCCCUCGCUCCAUUGUGCUCGAGGAUAAGAGACGCGAAACAUAAAGGCGGCCUACCAGCCCCACCCCCGUGGCUUAUAAACCCGGCUUAACCUUCCACCCUCCACGCCCUAUCGUCUUCCUUCCUUCCUUCCUUCCUCCACCCCCUGCCCGUGUUGCGAAUGGAACACAAAGUAAGGUCAACGUUGGCCAGGUGACUGAUCGAAAAUUUCCUACCCGGAUAGCCACGAGAGCAAGGAUAAUUCAACGGGGCCCUCCCCCCUUCCAUGUCUGCUGGUAGCGGGAUUUUUCCCAGAAAUUGUUUCUGUGAAGUUUUUUUCUUUCUUUUUUCCAAGGAUUUUUUUUUUUUUUUUUUUUUUUCCCCUCCAAGGAUGCCGUGUUUGGGCAUCCGGUGAUUGCGUUUCGAGGCUUUGAUGUUUGCUUCUUGAACGAUACUGUAGUGGUAUUGGUUUAGGCCCGGAAUCGGAUGGAAAAUUGUCAGGGAUUAUUCGGGGAGGAGGAAAAGUUUGAUUCGUCGAUAUUCGAGGCUGGAAUCGUGGAUUUUCUGGAAGCAUUUGGGAUUGUUUUUAAUCUCGUUCGGAUAUUUAUAUUUUGCAAUGGCUUGUUUUUUUUUUUUUUAUUUCUGCAAAAGUAUGCAUUUUAAAUAAAGUUUCGCGGUAUGUGAAAAAGAAUGUGGUUACAUAAGUUUCUUUUUAAUGUGAGAAAAAAACAGAGUCGUUGAACGAGAGACACAUUCUUAACCUUUUACACGAUUGCUUAACUAGGAAUGAAUUAGUCAGGGAUAAUUUUUUUACGUUAAAAUAAAGUUGAAAUAAGAAAA